ACGGGAGGCAGCAGUGGGGAAUUUUGGACAAUGGGCGAAAGCCUGAUCCAGCAAUGCCGCGUGAGUGAAGAAGGCCUUCGGGUUGUAAAGCUCUUUUGUCAGGGAAGAAACGGUGAGAGCUAAUAUCUCUUGCUAAUGACGGUACCUGAAGAAUAAGCACCGGCUAACUACGUGCCAGCAGCCGCGGUAAUACGUAGGGUGCAAGCGUUAAUCGGAAUUACUGGGCAUAAAGCGUGCGCAGGCGGUUUUGUAAGUCUGAUGUGAAAUCCCCGGGCUCAACCUGGGAAUUGCAUUGGAGACUGCAAGGCUAGAAUCUGGCAGAGGGGGGUAGAAUUCCACGUGUAGCAGUGAAAUGCGUAGAUAUGUGGAGGAACACCGAUGGCGAAGGCAGCCCCCUGGGUCAAGAUUGACGCUCAUGCACGAAAGCGUGGGGAGCAAACAGGAUUAGAUACCCUGGUAGUCCACGCCCUAAACGAUGUCUACUAGUUGUCGGGUCUUAAUUGACUUGGUAACGCAGCUAACGCGUGAAGUAGACCGCCUGGGGAGUACGGUCGCAAGAUUAAAACUCAAAGGAAUUGACGGGGACCCGCACAAGCGGUGGAUGAUGUGGAUUAAUUCGAUGCAACGCGAAAAACCUUACCUACCCUUGACAUGGCUGGAAUCCCUGAGAGAUUGGGGAGUGCUCGAAAGAGAACCAGUACACAGGUGCUGCAUGGCUGUCGUCAGCUCGU
Molecule: ribosomal RNA, 731 nt
Filed under: uncultured bacterium
Lineage: Bacteria
Description: bacterial SSU rRNA
Rfam family: Bacterial small subunit ribosomal RNA
Source: RNAcentral